Molecule: ribosomal RNA, 253 nt
Filed under: uncultured bacterium
Lineage: Bacteria
Description: partial 16S ribosomal RNA
Rfam family: Bacterial small subunit ribosomal RNA
Source: RNAcentral
UACGAAGGGGGCUAGCGUUGCUCGGAAUCACUGGGCGUAAAGGGUGCGUAGGCGGACGCGUAAGUCGGGGGUGAAAUCCCAGGGCUCAACCCUGGAACUGCCUUCGAUACUGCUCGUCUCGAGACCGGUAGAGGUAGGCGGAACUGCGAGUGUAGAGGUGAAAUUCGUAGAUAUUCGCAAGAACACCGGUGGCGAAGGCGGCUCACUGGUCCGGAACUGACGCUGAGGCACGACAGCGUGGGGAGCAAACAGG